GGGGUCAAGCUGGCCACAAGCAAGACCACUGUUAGGUUUGACCUCAUGGCUUGGCUAGUUGAUCAAUGGGAGUUUUGUGUACUUUUUCUGAAGCCAGGACAUGGAAGGAUGUAUAGUGAUGAGAUUCAUCAGCACGGAAGGAAACAAUGAGGAAUGCUGUGAUUCGGAGAUGAUAACCACAACCCAGUAGCUGGCAUAAUGAAAGGCAUGAGCUACCCAGAGAACUCUGACCAGUGAUACAGGAAAAAUACUAUCCAGCCCAUUGUUUAAAUUGAGAUGGAAAAAACAGCAGAUGGAAGCCUGUCCAGUGUUCUUAUUCCCUUCGGUUUCACACUCGCAUUGCCUUCAUGGAGCACAUCUGCAGGCAGAGGGCUGUGAGGAAGUUCAGUAUGUCUGCUCCCCUCCCAGUCACCCAGCAUACACCUACUGGUGCUUGCUUGGUGGCUAGAUCCCCCAUCAGACAUCCAGCACACACCUACUGUUGCUCAUUCAGUGGCUGGAUCCCCUCCCAGUCACCCAGCGCACACCUCCUGGUGCUCACUCAGUGGCUGGAUGGGGCUCUGAGCACCUGAUGGAGCUGUGGGUGUCCCUGCUCAUGGCAGGGGACUUGGACCGGAUGGCCUUUAAGAGCCCCUUCCAACUCCAGCAAUUCCACGAUUCAGUGACAAGGAGCAGUGGCACAUUGCAAUGCUGUGAAAUCACAGUUUUGGAGCCCUGGUGUUGUAAGAAGCUGGUGGUGAGGGCUGUACAGCUGUUUCAUUUCCUUGCAAACAAUGCCUCAAGCUGCUUGCGCGGUGGUGAAGCUGGAUACUUUAAAGAAAAUAAUUCUGUUUUAAUUUAUUGCAUGUAUAUAGAAUGAGGAGCAUCCAUUACAGAACAUUAAAGGCUGCCUCCUUUGAAAGGGGAAAAAAUAAAAGCUAGAAAGAGAGGAUUACAGCACAUCAUUCUGAGGAAAACUGCACUCCUCUGUGGUGCGGGUGGGGAGUGACAAAAGAAAGAGUCUUGGGACAAUGAGCAGUUGUCUGCGAGCGCAUUUUUUGCCAUAAAUCUCUGCAUGUCUGUGUUCCUUUACUUCUUUUUUUCAUUUUUUCUUUUUUUCUUAAAGCCCUUGCUUGUAUAAUUAGGUGACAAUCUUGGCUAUAGGGUUUUUUGAAAUAAAGUUCCUAGCCCUUAUGGUUUCGGAGAAAA
This is a long non-coding RNA of Numida meleagris (helmeted guineafowl), 1188 nucleotides long. RefSeq lists it as uncharacterized. Lineage: Eukaryota; Metazoa; Chordata; Aves; Galliformes; Numididae. The record is from RefSeq and is a predicted model, not a curated record. The transcript has 3 exons.